UACGUAGGGUGCAAGCGUUAAUCGGAAUUACUGGGCGUAAAGCGUGCGCAGGCGGUCCGCAAAGUCUGAUGUGAAAGCCCCGGGCUCAACCUGGGAACUGCAUUGGAAACUAACGGGCUCGAGUGUGGCAGAGGGGGGUGGAAUUCCACGUGUAGCAGUGAAAUGCGUAGAGAUGUGGAGGAACACCGAUGGCGAAGGCAGCCCCCUGGGCUAACACUGACGCUCAGGCACGAAAGCGUGGGGAGCAAACAGG
Molecule: ribosomal RNA, 253 nt
Filed under: uncultured bacterium
Lineage: Bacteria
Description: partial 16S ribosomal RNA
Rfam family: Bacterial small subunit ribosomal RNA
Source: RNAcentral